This 521-nucleotide ribosomal RNA is filed under the name uncultured bacterium. RNAcentral's name for it is "bacterial SSU rRNA". It matches the Rfam family "Bacterial small subunit ribosomal RNA", at positions 988 to 1509 of the family's 1533-position model. The record is from RNAcentral.
CCAGAGAACUUAGCAGAGAUGCUUUGGUGCCUUCGGGAACUCUGAGACAGGUGCUGCAUGGCUGUCGUCAGCUCGUGUUGUGAAAUGUUGGGUUAAGUCCCGCAACGAGCGCAACCCUUAUCCUUUGUUGCCAGCGGCUCGGCCGGGAACUCAAAGGAGACUGCCGGUGAUAAACCGGAGGAAGGUGGGGAUGACGUCAAGUCAUCAUGGCCCUUACGGCCAGGGCUACACACGUGCUACAAUGGCGCAUACAAAGAGAAGCGACCUCGCGAGAGCAAGCGGACCUCACAAAGUGCGUCGUAGUCCGGAUUGGAAUCUGCAACUCGACUCCAUGAAGUCGGAAUCGCUAGUAAUCGUAGAUCAGAAUGCUACGGUGAAUACGUUCCCGGGCCUUGUACACACCGCCCGUCACACCAUGGGAGUGGGUUGCAAAAGAAGUAGGUAGCUUAACCUUCGGGAGGGCGCUUACCACUUUGUGAUUCAUGACUGGGGUGAAGUCGUAACAAGGUAGGCGUAGCGAG